RNAcentral lists this ribosomal RNA (440 nucleotides) under uncultured bacterium. RNAcentral describes it as "partial 16S ribosomal RNA". It matches the Rfam family "Bacterial small subunit ribosomal RNA", at positions 338 to 795 of the family's 1533-position model. The record is from RNAcentral.
CCUACGGGAGGCUGCAGUGGGGAAUAUUGCACAAUGGGGGAAACCCUGAUGCAGCGACGCCGCGUGAGUGAAGAAGUAAUUCGUUAUGUAAAGCUCUAUCAGCAGGGAAGAAAAUGACGGUACCUGAGUAAGAAGCCCCGGCUAACUACGGGCCAGCAGCCGCGGUAAUCCGUAGGGGGCAAGCGUUAUCCGGAUUUACUGGGUGUAAAGGGAGCGGAGACGGCAGUGCAAGUCUGGAGUGAAAGGCGUGGGCUCAACCCCCGGACUGCGGUGGAAACUGGACGGCUGGAGUGCAGGAGAGGUAAGUGGAAUUCCUAGUGUAGCGGUGAAAUGCGUAGAUAUUAGGAGGAACACCAGUGGCGAAGGCGGCUUACUGGACUGUAACUGACGUUGAGGCUCGAAAGCGUGGGGAGCAAACAGGAUUAGAUACCCCAGUAGUC